GAUUAACGCUGGCGGCAUGCCUAAUACAUGCAAGUCGAAUGGUAGCAAUACCAUGGCGAACGGGUGAGUAACACGUAGGUAACCUGCCUUUAAGACGAGGAUAACCGUUGGAAACGACGGAUAAUACUGGAUAGGACAGCACAAAUCGCAUGAUUAGUUGUUUAAAGGAGCAAUCCACUUAAAGAGGGGCCUGCGGCGCAUUAGCUAGUUGGUGAGAUAAAAGCCCACCAAGGCGAUGAUGCGUAGCCGGACUGAGAGGUUGAACGGACACAACGGAACUGAGAACGGUCCAU
RNAcentral lists this ribosomal RNA (293 nucleotides) under uncultured bacterium. Its description in RNAcentral is "partial 16S ribosomal RNA". It matches the Rfam family "Bacterial small subunit ribosomal RNA", at positions 28 to 334 of the family's 1533-position model. The record is from RNAcentral.